RNAcentral lists this transfer RNA (63 nucleotides) under Aleocharinae sp. 4 EF-2015. Its description in RNAcentral is "tRNA-His". Lineage: Eukaryota; Metazoa; Arthropoda; Insecta; Coleoptera; Staphylinidae. The record is from RNAcentral.
AUUUAAAUAGUUUAUAAAAAUAUUGAUUUGUGGAGUCAAAGAUGUAAUUAAUUACUUUAAAUA